This 239-nucleotide ribosomal RNA is filed under the name uncultured Lactobacillus sp. RNAcentral describes it as "partial 16S ribosomal RNA". It matches the Rfam family "Bacterial small subunit ribosomal RNA", at positions 125 to 355 of the family's 1533-position model. The record is from RNAcentral. Lineage: Bacteria; Bacillati; Bacillota; Bacilli; Lactobacillales; Lactobacillaceae.
CCGUAGCCCAAGAGAUCGGGAUAACACCUGGAAACAGAUGCUAAUACCGGAUAACAACAGAUGAUGCCUAUCAACUGUUUAAAAGAUGGCUCUGCUAUCACUCUUGGAUGGACCUGCGGUGCAUUAGCUAGUUGGUAGGGUAACGGCCUACCAAGGCGAUGAUGCAUAGCCGAGUUGAGAGACUGAUCGGCCACAUUGGGACUGAGACACGGCCCAAACUCCUACGGGAGGCAGCAGCC